RNAcentral lists this ribosomal RNA (253 nucleotides) under uncultured bacterium. RNAcentral's name for it is "partial 16S ribosomal RNA". It matches the Rfam family "Bacterial small subunit ribosomal RNA", at positions 524 to 776 of the family's 1533-position model. The record is from RNAcentral.
UACGAAGGGGGCUAGCGUUGUUCGGAGUUACUGGGCGUAAAGGGCGCGUAGGCGGCGCACCAAGUCAGGCGUGAAAGCCCUGGGCUCAACCCGGGAAUUGCGCUUGAGACUGGUGUGCUCGCGUACGGGAGAGGAUAGUGGAAUUCCCAGUGUAGAGGUGAAAUUCGUAGAUAUUGGGAAGAACACCGGUGGCGAAGGCGGCUAUCUGGACCGUAACUGACGCUGAGGCGCGAAAGCGUGGGGAGCAAACAGG